UAGAAUGAAGUUCGUUUGGUAGAACCCCUAGCUGUUAACUAGGGUGUUGCGGGAUCGAGGCUCGCCAUUCUAG
Molecule: transfer RNA, 73 nt
Filed under: Cornufer vitiensis (Fiji tree frog)
Lineage: Eukaryota; Metazoa; Chordata; Amphibia; Anura; Ceratobatrachidae
Description: Platymantis vitiensis (Fiji tree frog) tRNA-Asn
Rfam family: tRNA
About the family: Transfer RNA (tRNA) molecules are approximately 80 nucleotides in length. Their secondary structure includes four short double-helical elements and three loops (D, anti-codon, and T loops).
Source: RNAcentral